This 72-nucleotide transfer RNA is filed under the name Camelus bactrianus (Bactrian camel). It matches the Rfam family "tRNA". Rfam says of the family: Transfer RNA (tRNA) molecules are approximately 80 nucleotides in length. Their secondary structure includes four short double-helical elements and three loops (D, anti-codon, and T loops). Further hydrogen bonds mediate the characteristic L-shaped molecular structure. tRNAs have two regions of fundamental functional importance: the anti-codon, which is responsible for specific mRNA codon recognition, and the 3' end, to which the tRNAs corresponding amino acid is attached (by aminoacyl-tRNA synthetases). tRNAs cope with the degeneracy of the genetic code in two manners: having more than one tRNA (with a specific anti-codon) for a particular amino acid; and 'wobble' base-pairing, i.e. permitting non-standard base-pairing at the 3rd anti-codon position. RNAcentral also lists the same sequence under 2 other names. The record is from Rfam by way of RNAcentral. Lineage: Eukaryota; Metazoa; Chordata; Mammalia; Artiodactyla; Camelidae.
GAGGGUGUAGCUCAGUGGUAGAGUGCGUGCUUAGCAUGCUUGAGGUCCUGGGUUCAAUCCUUGAUACCUCCA